AUACGGAGGGUGCAAGCGUUAUCCGGAUUUAUUGGGUUUAAAGGGUCCGUAGGCGGAUCUGUAAGUCAGUGGUGAAAUCUCAUAGCUUAACUAUGAAACUGCCAUUGAUACUGCAGGUCCUGAGUAAGGUAGAAGUAGCUGGAAUAAGUAGUGUAGCGGUGAAAUGCAUAGAUAUUACUUAGAACACCAAUUGCGAAGGCAGGUUACUAUGUCUUAACUGACGCUGAUGGACGAAAGCGUGGGGAGCGAACAGGAUUAGAAACCCUAGUAGUCC
This 274-nucleotide ribosomal RNA is filed under the name uncultured bacterium. Its description in RNAcentral is "partial 16S ribosomal RNA". It matches the Rfam family "Bacterial small subunit ribosomal RNA", at positions 523 to 796 of the family's 1533-position model. The record is from RNAcentral.